This 409-nucleotide ribosomal RNA is filed under the name uncultured soil bacterium. RNAcentral describes it as "bacterial SSU rRNA". It matches the Rfam family "Bacterial small subunit ribosomal RNA", at positions 26 to 457 of the family's 1533-position model. The record is from RNAcentral.
AGAACGAACGCUGGCGGCAUGCCUAAUACAUGCAAGUCGAACGAACUCUUCGGAGUUAGUGGCGCACGGGUGCGUAACGCGUGGGAAUCUGCCCUUGGGUUCGGAAUAACAGUUGGAAACGACUGCUAAUACCGGAUGAUGACGAAAGUCCAAAGAUUUAUCGCCCAGGGAUGAGCCCGCGUAGGAUUAGCUAGUUGGUGAGGUAAAGGCUCACCAAGGCGACGAUCCUUAGCUGGUCUGAGAGGAUGAUCAGCCACACUGGGACUGAGACACGGCCCAGACUCCUACGGGAGCAGCAGUAGGGAAUAUGGACAAGUGGGACGAAAGCUGAUCCAGCAAUGCCGCGUGAGUGAUGGAACGGUCGUUAGGGUUAGUAAAGGCCUUCGUUUACCCGAGAUGAAUAAUGAAC